GACGAACGCUGGCGGCGCGCUUAACACAUGCAAGUCGAACGGAAAGGCCUGCUUUCCCUUGUGGAUUGCGGGUACUCGAGUGGCGAACGGGUGAGUAACACGUGAGUGAUCUGCCCCCAACUUGGGUAUAAGCCUGGGAAACUGGGUCUAAUUCCCGAUAGGACUGCAGGGUGGUGCCUGUGGUGGAAAACGAUUUUCUAGUGGUUGGGGAUGAGCUCGCGGCCUAUCAGCUUGUUGGUGGGGUAAUGGCCUACCAAGGCGGCGACGGGUAGCCGGCCUGGGAGGGGGGACGGCCACACUGGGACUGAGACACGGCCCAGACUCCUACGGGAGGCAGCAGUGGGGAAUAUUGCACAGUGGGCGGAAGCCUGAUGCAGCGACGCCGCGUGGGGGAUGACGGCAUUCGGGUUGUAAACUCCUUUCGACCGCGAGGAAGCCACCUGGUUGGAAGGGUGGUGACGGUAGUGGUAGAAGAAGCACCGGCUAACUACGUG
Molecule: ribosomal RNA, 494 nt
Filed under: uncultured bacterium
Lineage: Bacteria
Description: partial 16S ribosomal RNA
Rfam family: Bacterial small subunit ribosomal RNA
Source: RNAcentral